This 370-nucleotide ribosomal RNA is filed under the name Epischnomyia merzi. RNAcentral's name for it is "partial 16S ribosomal RNA". The record is from RNAcentral. Lineage: Eukaryota; Metazoa; Arthropoda; Insecta; Diptera; Anthomyzidae.
UAAUCAGUAGUCUUUUAAUUGAAGGCUGGUAUGAAUGGUUGGAUGAGAUAUUAACUGUUUCAUUUAAAAUUUUAAUAGAAUUUUAUUUUUUAGUUAAAAAGCUUAAAUUUUGUUAAAAGACGAGAAGACCCUAUAAAUCUUUAUAUUUUAUUUAUAUUAAUUGUUUAGAUGUUUUUGGUUAUUAUAAACUAAAAUAUUUUGUUGGGGUGAUAUUAAAAUUUGAUAAACUUUUAAUUUUUAUUUACAUAAAUUAAUGAAUUAAUGAUCCAUUAUUAAUGAUUAAAAAUUUAAGUUACUUUAGGGAUAACAGCGUAAUUUUUUUGGAGAGUUCAUAUCGAUAAAAAAGAUUGCGACCUCGAUGUUGGAUUAA